CUUCGGCCUCUUAUAGCAGCACCUAUUGCAAGUCACGCACCUUACAUGAUGUCACGCACCUUACAUGAUGUCACACACCAGGGUCUUGCUGGGCAGGAGGGUCCCGUGGUGCCAGAUUGAGUGUUUUGCCCCAAAGCUGUCCCAGGCUGAGCCCAGGCGCUGAGGGUGCCUUUGGAGGAGGGAACAUUCCCCUCCUGUUAUCACUGCCCUUAUUGUUAUUCUUUCUUUCUGCCUGGAGACAAAAGCACCGCCAGACAUAGGGGGAACAAACAGUGCUAAUGGGGAACACGUGGCCCAGCCAGCAGCGAUGCUCACGUGAGAACACUGAUGUAGAGCAGCGAUGGGGCACAAGAAUGCG
This 358-nucleotide long non-coding RNA is filed under the name Gallus gallus (chicken). Lineage: Eukaryota; Metazoa; Chordata; Aves; Galliformes; Phasianidae. The record is from RNAcentral.